ACGAAUCGCUUCCUAAUUUUUUUAAAAAGCUCACUUCCACGCAUCCAUACGAUUAUGCUUCUGCGUAUCCGCUUAUGUUUCCUUGUAACGUAGAUUUAAACUGAAAAUAAUAAUAUCAUACUAACAAACUAACUUUUUUAACCGAAAUUUUAAAACAAAGCUUAAUAUUAACAAGCUUAAUAAAAAUCCAUAUGUUAAUAUUUGAUUCAACAUAAAAAUUAAAUUGGAUAUGCAAUAACCCUAAAUAAAAAUUUGAAAAAAUAACUUAAAAUAAAAAAAAACCAAAUUAUAUCAUAAAAUAUGUAUAGAUAUAGUAGUUUGUAUAUACAAUUACAUUACAUAUUUUUAAAUAUAUGGAUAGGAUUGGAUCUGGUAUCCGGCUUUCCAAGAAAAUGAUAUUUGUGAUUUGCUUCAUUUUUACGGAUAUCAUCUUUUAUAUUGGCUUUGAUUCGAAGCAUUACGGUUAUCCGGAUUUUUUGGAUCAAAUUGAAAUGAAUAACGAAUCGGUUCAAAUUUAACAGAUAAUUUGUCCGCCCUAGAUAUUAUAUACACAAUGAUUUUUUUUUAUCAAGGACAAUAAUUAAGACGCCUUAAUCGAGGUGUGAACAAAGUGAACGACAUUCUUC
Molecule: long non-coding RNA, 626 nt
Filed under: Brassica rapa (field mustard)
Lineage: Eukaryota; Viridiplantae; Streptophyta; Magnoliopsida; Brassicales; Brassicaceae
Description: long non-coding RNA (BRAP_LNC002538)
Source: RNAcentral